This 1479-nucleotide ribosomal RNA is filed under the name Campylobacter jejuni. RNAcentral's name for it is "partial 23S ribosomal RNA". It matches the Rfam family "Bacterial large subunit ribosomal RNA", at positions 1 to 1508 of the family's 2925-position model. The record is from RNAcentral. Lineage: Bacteria; Pseudomonadati; Campylobacterota; Epsilonproteobacteria; Campylobacterales; Campylobacteraceae.
AGGUAAGCUACUAAGAGCGAAUGGUGGAUGCCUUGACUGGUAAAGGCGAUGAAGGACGUACUAGACUGCGAUAAGCUACGGGGAGCUGUCAAGAAGCUUUGAUCCGUAGAUUUCCGAAUGGGGCAACCCAAUGUAUAGAGAUAUACAUUACCUAUAUAGGAGCGAACGAGGGGAAUUGAAACAUCUUAGUACCCUCAGGAAAAGAAAUCAAUAGAGAUUGCGUCAGUAGCGGCGAGCGAAAGCGCAAGAGGGCAAACCCAGUGCUUGCACUGGGGGUUGUAGGACUGCAAUGUGCAAGAGGUGAGUUUAGCAGAACAUUCUGGAAAGUAUAACCAUAGAGGGUGAUAGUCCCGUAUGCGAAAAACAAACCUUAGCUAGCAGUAUCCUGAGUAGGGCGGGACACGAGGAAUCCUGUCUGAAUCCGGGUCGACCACGAUCCAACCCUAAAUACUAAUACCAGAUCGAUAGUGCACAAGUACCGUGAGGGAAAGGUGAAAAGAACUGAGGUGAUCAGAGUGAAAUAGAACCUGAAACCAUUUGCUUACAAUCAUUCAGAGCCUUAUGUAGCAAUACAGGGUGAUGGACUGCCUUUUGCAUAAUGAGCCUGCGAGUUGUGGUGUCUGGCAAGGUUAAGCAAACGCGAAGCCGUAGCGAAAGCGAGUCUGAAUAGGGCGCUUAGUCAGAUGCUGCAGACCCGAAACGAAGUGAUCUAUCCAUGAGCAAGUUGAAGCUAGUGUAAGAACUAGUGGAGGACUGAACCCAUAGGCGUUGAAAAGCCCCGGGAUGACUUGUGGAUAGGGGUGAAAGGCCAAUCAAACUUCGUGAUAGCUGGUUCUCUCCGAAAUAUAUUUAGGUAUAGCGUUGUGUCGUAAUAUAAGGGGGUAGAGCACUGAAUGGGCUAGGGCAUACACCAAUGUACCAAACCCUAUCAAACUCCGAAUACCUUAUAUGUAAUCACAGCAGUCAGGCGGCGAGUGAUAAAAUCCGUCGUCAAGAGGGAAACAACCCAGACUACCAGCUAAGGUCCCUAAAUCUUACUUAAGUGGAAAACGAUGUGAAGUUACUUAAACAACCAGGAGGUUGGCUUAGAAGCAGCCAUCCUUUAAAGAAAGCGUAAUAGCUCACUGGUCUAGUGAUUUUGCGCGGAAAAUAUAACGGGGCUAAAGUAAGUACCGAAGCUGUAGACUUAGUUUACUAAGUGGUAGGAGAGCGUUCUAUUUGCGUCGAAGGUAUACCGGUAAGGAGUGCUGGAGCGAAUAGAAGUGAGCAUGCAGGCAUGAGUAGCGAUAAUUAAUGUGAGAAUCAUUAACGCCGUAAACCCAAGGUUUCCUACGCGAUGCUCGUCAUCGUAGGGUUAGUCGGGUCCUAAGUCGAGUCCGAAAGGGGUAGACGAUGGCAAAUUGGUUAAUAUUCCAAUACCAACAUUAGUGUGCGAUGGAAGGACGCUUAGGGCUAAGGGGGCUAGCGGAUGGAAGUGCU